This 105-nucleotide small nuclear RNA is filed under the name Canis lupus familiaris (dog). RNAcentral describes it as "U2 spliceosomal RNA (multiple genes)". It matches the Rfam family "U2 spliceosomal RNA". From Rfam's summary of the family: U2 is a small nuclear RNA (snRNA) component of the spliceosome (involved in pre-mRNA splicing). Complementary binding between U2 snRNA (in an area lying towards the 5' end but 3' to hairpin I) and the branchpoint sequence (BPS) of the intron results the bulging out of an unpaired adenosine, on the BPS, which initiates a nucleophilic attack at the intronic 5' splice site, thus starting the first of two transesterification reactions that mediate splicing. The record is from Rfam by way of RNAcentral. RNAcentral also lists the same sequence under 2 other names. Lineage: Eukaryota; Metazoa; Chordata; Mammalia; Carnivora; Canidae.
AUCGCUUCUCAGCCUCUUGGCUAAGAUCAAGUGUAGGAACUUGACAACACAUUAAAGUGCAAAGAUUAUUUUUUUAACUUUAUUUUUAAAUUAUUUCAAGCUUAC